This 384-nucleotide unclassified non-coding RNA is filed under the name uncultured Elusimicrobia bacterium. Its description in RNAcentral is "contains 16S-23S intergenic spacer region". The record is from RNAcentral. Lineage: Bacteria; Pseudomonadati; Elusimicrobiota; Elusimicrobia.
UCCGGUUUAUCACCGGCAGUUUCCUAAGAGUGCGGCACCCUUGCGGGCACGUGGCAACAUAGGAUAAGGGUUGCGCUCGUUGCGGGACUUAACCCAACAUCUCACGACACGAGCUGACGACAACCAUGCAGCACCUCUACCGGCUCCCUUGCGGGUCAUUCCUGUUUCCAGGUUUUACCACCGGCUCUUCAAGCCCAGGUAAGGUUUUUCGUGUUGCGUCGAAUUAAACCACAUACUCCACCGCUUGUGCGGGCCCCCGUCAAUUCCUUUGAGUUUCAACCUUGCGGCCGUACUCCCCAGGCGGUUCAUUUAAUGCGUUAGCUUCGGCGCGGAAGGGGUCGAUACCCCCCACACCUAAUGAACAUCGUUUACAGCUAGGACUAC